GUCCCACUUUUUUGCGGUUGCUUAAUUUUUGGUAAUUUUGCAGGCUCAGGAUGUAAAUUUUGCAAUGGAAGCCUCGAGAAAAUCACGGAUUGCUUUUGUGGCAGCUAACGUAAGCUUAGGAGAAACCCAACAUAGAGAGGGUCUAUCAUCCAUUAAAAAAGCUCUUGAUUUUUAUUUCCAAGAUAUAGAAGGAUUACUACGUCUGGUACGGCUUGCAAUUGAAGCUAUAAGCCGCUAAAGAGUCCAGUUUUUUGUGGAGAUUGUACCAAAUUUGGGAGGAAAUAGAAGAGCCUGGUUAUUUGUGACCUGAUUUUCUCUGUUGCAGUUCUGGAGACUUCUGCUGGAGACUAGUCAUUGCCAUCUCACCAGCUUUGUUUUGUGUACAUUUGUAUGAUACAGGAAGGAUUUGGAAUUUUGAGUAUAUUUUUUCAUCAUACUUUAGCUGCUUUCUGAAGCAGAUAAAGACCAUAAUGUUAAAUCCAUUUCAGGAUUGGUCUUAAGGAAAAUUGAUUUAUCAACUUCUACAGAAAUGAUUGUGAGAUUGUAGAAAGUGGCCAUUUUAUGAUGCGGCAGGACUGUGGUUGAAGAAAUAAGCGCAUAUAGUUAGGGAACCCCGACUAUAAAUAUGCGUGGGGUUGUAGGAUUUCAAUACAAGGAUGUGCCAUCUUUAUGGCAGUUGUUUUUACCUGGACGGAGAUGAGUUUAGCUGUCCUGUUAAUUCUUUACGUACAACAUAUUUGGAUAUAGAAGGAUGGCCAUUGUAAAAUUUGUGCAAUGACAUGAAUCUUAACUCUACUAUCGGAGACUGCAGUAACUUUCUUGGUUCGGGAUCUUUGUAAAGAUGCUAAUUGUCCUAUCUGGCUGUCUCAGGUCGUCUUUAGGAGGUUCUGACAAGUUAGGACAAUU
RNAcentral lists this unclassified non-coding RNA (906 nucleotides) under Hevea brasiliensis (rubber tree). The record is from RNAcentral. Lineage: Eukaryota; Viridiplantae; Streptophyta; Magnoliopsida; Malpighiales; Euphorbiaceae.